This 591-nucleotide ribosomal RNA is filed under the name Acinetobacter baumannii OIFC109. Its description in RNAcentral is "bacterial SSU rRNA". It matches the Rfam family "Bacterial small subunit ribosomal RNA", at positions 28 to 613 of the family's 1533-position model. The record is from RNAcentral. Lineage: Bacteria; Pseudomonadati; Pseudomonadota; Gammaproteobacteria; Moraxellales; Moraxellaceae.
AUUGAACGCUGGCGGCAGGCUUAACACAUGCAAGUCGAGCGGGGGAAGGUAGCUUGCUACCGGACCUAGCGGCGGACGGGUGAGUAAUGCUUAGGAAUCUGCCUAUUAGUGGGGGACAACAUCUCGAAAGGGAUGCUAAUACCGCAUACGUCCUACGGGAGAAAGCAGGGGAUCUUCGGACCUUGCGCUAAUAGAUGAGCCUAAGUCGGAUUAGCUAGUUGGUGGGGUAAAGGCCUACCAAGGCGACGAUCUGUAGCGGGUCUGAGAGGAUGAUCCGCCACACUGGGACUGAGACACGGCCCAGACUCCUACGGGAGGCAGCAGUGGGGAAUAUUGGACAAUGGGGGGAACCCUGAUCCAGCCAUGCCGCGUGUGUGAAGAAGGCCUUAUGGUUGUAAAGCACUUUAAGCGAGGAGGAGGCUACUUUAGUUAAUACCUAGAGAUAGUGGACGUUACUCGCAGAAUAAGCACCGGCUAACUCUGUGCCAGCAGCCGCGGUAAUACAGAGGGUGCGAGCGUUAAUCGGAUUUACUGGGCGUAAAGCGUGCGUAGGCGGCUUAUUAAGUCGGAUGUGAAAUCCCCGAGCUUAAC